RNAcentral lists this ribosomal RNA (462 nucleotides) under uncultured bacterium. RNAcentral's name for it is "partial 16S ribosomal RNA". It matches the Rfam family "Bacterial small subunit ribosomal RNA", at positions 28 to 507 of the family's 1533-position model. The record is from RNAcentral.
GACGAACGCUGGCGGCGUGCUUAACACAUGCAAGUCGAACGGAAAGGCCCUUCGGGGUCCUCGAGUGACGAACGGGUGAGUAACACGUGGGUGAUCUGCCCUGCACUUUGGGAUAAGCCUGGGAAACUGGGUCUAAUACCGAAUAGGACCACGCGCUUCAUGGUGUGUGGUGGAAAGCUUUUGCGGUGUGGGAUGGGCCCGCGGCCUAUCAGCUUGUUGGUGGGGUAAUGGCCUACCAAGGCGACGACGGGUAGCCGGCCUGAGAGGGUGACCGGCCACACUGGGACUGAGAUACGGCCCAGACUCCUACGGGAGGCAGCAGUGGGGAAUAUUGCACAAUGGGCGCAAGCCUGAUGCAGCGACGCCGCGUGAGGGAUGACGGCCUUCGGGUUGUAAACCUCUUUCAAUAGGGACGAAGCGCAAGUGACGGUACCUAUAGAAGAAGCACCGGCCAACUACGUG